CCUACGGGAGGCAGCAGUGGGGAAUAUUGGACAAUGGGGGCAACCCUGAUCCAGCAAUGCCGCGUGAGUGAUGAAGGCCUUCGGGUUGUAAAGCUCUUUUGCUAGGGACGCGGUACCUAGAGAAUAAGCCCCGGCUAACUUCGUGCCAGCAGCCGCGGUAAUACGAAGGGGGCUAGCGUUGUUCGGAAUUACUGGGCGUAAAGGGCGCGUAGGCGGUUUGAUUAGUCAGAUGUGAAAUUCCCGGGCUUAACCUGGGCGCUGCAUUUGAUACUGUCAGGCUUGAAUCCGGGAGAGGAUAGCGGAAUUCCCAGUGUAGAGGUGAAAUUCGUAGAUAUUGGGAAGAACACCAGUGGCGAAGGCGGCUAUCUGGACCGGAUUGACGCUGAGGCGCGAAAGCGUGGGGAGCAAACAGGAUUAGAUACCCUUGUAGUC
RNAcentral lists this ribosomal RNA (432 nucleotides) under uncultured bacterium. Its description in RNAcentral is "partial 16S ribosomal RNA". It matches the Rfam family "Bacterial small subunit ribosomal RNA", at positions 338 to 795 of the family's 1533-position model. The record is from RNAcentral.